GACGAACCGUGCGAACGUUGUUCGGAAUCACUGGGCUUAAAGGGCGCGUAGGUGGUUUGCCAAGUCGGGGUUGAAAUCUUUCGGCUUAACCGGAAAAGUGGCUUCGAUACUGGCAAGCUGGAGGGAGGUAGGGGCGGAUGGAACUUCCGGUGGAGCGGUGAAAUGUGUUGAUAUCGGAAGGAACGCCGGUGGCGAAAGCGAUCCGCUGGACCUCUUCUGACACUGAGGCGCGAAAGCUAGGGGAGCAAACGGG
Molecule: ribosomal RNA, 253 nt
Filed under: uncultured bacterium
Lineage: Bacteria
Description: partial 16S ribosomal RNA
Rfam family: Bacterial small subunit ribosomal RNA
Source: RNAcentral